AAAAGGCUUGCAACUGAAAAAACACGAGCGAUACAGAGAAAGGGAAGGAGAGAAAAAAAAAAGCUUGCGAUACAGGGGAGAGACAGAGUUCGUGCGGCCGGCCAUCACCAUCCCUUGCCAGACUUAGACCACCGGAACCGGCACCGGUAACCUAAAGGUGCAUGCAGGAAUUGAGAUGCGGAGAUAGAGAGAACUACCACCGGUAUUUGGGUUACAUUUGGUUUGGAUUUUAAAAGAGAAGAGAGAAAUUACUGAAAGGAUGCGUUGUUAAUAGUGAUGCGUUGUUAAGGCACAGGGGAGAAAGACAAACAUCUCAGGGCCGGUACUACCGUCGGCCUCCAACCACAAGGAAACUUUGUUUCUUCUGCUGUCGUACCGCCAGAGCUAUUAUUGGGUGGAAAGGCCAAGCCUUUGAGGCAACCCAAAGUCUAAGAAGAAUGGGUACGUCGUUUACUUAUUUAGUUUCCAAACAAUAGUGUCUGUUCAUUUUGCGGAUUGAACAGUUUCAGUAUAUAUGUUUCAAACCCACAUAACUUUUCAUCCCUAAAGAUGCUGCCUAAACUAACAACGCUUCAAUCAAAGCUAAAUAACUUCUCUUAAGCGUUAAUACCAAUUCAUUGCUUCAAACACCACUGUCUCUUAAAACCCAUAUUUCUUCUUCUUCGUUGCACAAUCUCAAUAAACACUUCAAAACCACAAAAAUCCCCACUCAAAUCUAGGAGAUUGCCUCUCAUGGCAUUUACACGGUCUGGGUGGGCAUUUACAAUGUUUGCUUAGAGGUCGUGUUCUCCUUUUUCUGCAAGCCAACAAAUGGGAUAUUGGAAAAGAUCAAGAUUCAAGGACUAAGAUGGUUCCGUUGGAGAGAGGCUACGGUGAUUUUCUCUUAAUGGGAUUUCGCCAGAAUCAUCUGACUGUUGGGAAGACAAUACGGUUUAAUUUUUUUGUUUGUUGAGAAACCUCCCCCUUUGCAGUUGGUUGGCCAAUCAUUAAUUCUAUUAAUGAUUGGAUUUAGAAUGUCAGGUUAGUUGGGUGAUAACAUGGUUUUAAGUUGCAGAAGUAUCUAACAAUGAUUUAUCAUAUAUAUUUUGAAUUUGAGGUAAUGUAACUACUACAAAUGCUUAGUCACAUAAAAAUAUUAAUAGAGAAAGACAAAAGGAUAUGUAGUAUGUUAUUCAGCUGAAGAUAUGGCUGAUAGGGCUGAUAGCAAGGCAAGUUAUUCUUUUUGGAAAAUUUUUAAAUGAGCCAAAAGCAACUUCUAAAUUGAGUUCUAUUUGUAAUAUUGCACUUUAUGUAUAUACUAAUGUUUCUCCUGUAAUUAUGUGACUCAUAUGGAUUUGUUGUGCUAGGGAAAUCAUGGUCCAAUCCCAAUACUUUUUUGCAGUGCAUUUGCAUCAAGUAGAAUUCAUGUAUGUAAUUUCAGCCAAUCUGAUGUAGAUAUGGGAAUAAGGAAAAAGUAUACCACUAAUGCUUGGGAAACCUAAGUAUACCACUGAUAAUAUAGCAGUCCUAUAGGUAAGUGCUCUGCUUAUAAUCCUUUUGGAGAUUACUUUAUGGGGAUAUUUAGAUUUUCUUAAGAAUUUUGAUUCAUGGGAACUGUUUUUGUUAAGGUGGUGAUGUCAUUGUUACAAAAAGAGGAAAAUGAAGUUUAUAAGAGGCCUAAAUCUGGGAUAAAGAAAGGGUAUUUCUUUCCCCAUUGUUAGGAAGUUUGAAUAUGCAAAAUAUUGAUAACCUAAUAAAUUUUUGUUAGUUAUGUUGUCACUUUUGUUCGUGUCAUCAACCUAAAAGGUAUAAGGUACUGUGAUUGAUAAAUUAAAGUGCUUCUUAAGAACUUUUUAUACAUUUAUUUUUAUCCUACUUAGUUUCUGAAAAUAUUUUUUUCAUCUAUUCUUUGUUUGCCAAUAUCUGUUUCUUUCUAAUGGUCAAGGUUUCAGUGAGUUAUUUGUUAAAGUUAUAUAUUGUGUUGAAUUCUUUUUUAUUUUAUUUAUCAUUUGCAUCUCUUUUUAAAAAGAAAAGUUUUGCACAUCACUUUUUAAAAAAGAUAGCAUCCUAAGGCCGUGGAAGGUAAUUAGAAGAAGCCAAUAUAUAUAUAUAUAUAUAUAUUUAUAUUUUGGCAGUGUAUGCCUAAGUUUUUGUUGGCUUGGUUCCUUAUUUCUUUGCCAUAGUCAAACAUUCUAUAUAUUUGUUUUUGCUUUUUAUAUUUUUUGUUGGCUUGAUGAGCGCAGGGGAAAGUUUCCAAAUUCUUAUUAAACUUGCAAGAUUAUGAAUACCCACACACCAUUUUGAUAUACAAUUCUUUCUCUCUCUCUCUGAAUUCAGUUAUGCCAGAUUAUUUUUGUCCAAGAUCAGUAUUAUGCGGAAGCAGCAUGUUGAUUCGUAUCAAAAAGAGUGGUGGAUUGGGUUCCAAUAACUUUCUUUUUGGGGACCUGAAUUUGAAGCAAAGAAAUAGAAAGAGAAUAUGUAAUACAGAAUUCAAUUUAAUUUUCAGUUUCUGUUUUCCAUCCUACCUGUUCUGCUGUUUUUGAAGAGUGGUUGAAAUUGUAGAACUUUGAAAUCUGAAAGUGUAAUGUUUUUUAUACAAAGUUGAUUAUCUCUUAGAUUUUAGUUAAUAUUCCA
RNA transcript from Quercus lobata, 2613 nucleotides. RefSeq lists it as uncharacterized. The transcript has 6 exons. The record is from RefSeq and is a predicted model, not a curated record. NCBI's taxonomy places the organism in Eukaryota, Viridiplantae, Streptophyta, Magnoliopsida, Fagales, Fagaceae.